Molecule: long non-coding RNA, 514 nt
Filed under: Homo sapiens (human)
Lineage: Eukaryota; Metazoa; Chordata; Mammalia; Primates; Hominidae
Description: non-protein coding lnc-TICRR-2:2
Source: RNAcentral
GUCAUGAAAGCCUUCACCAGAUGGUCAAGCAGAUGCUGGUGCCAUGCCCUUGAACUUCCCACCACCAUCCCCCACCUAGCCACUAUAUGGGUUGUUAGAUAUUUUGACCACCUCCUCUUCGCUCACUCCACUAUUCAACUCACUGCAUCAUCAAUGUACUUAUUACAAACCUGUCACAAGCCAGGUCUUAUGCUAGGUGCUCCUCUCAACAGGUUCUUGAGCUGGCAGGGGAGAGAGAGACAUUCAAACACCAAGGAUUAAUAUACCAUUACAGGUUUAAAGACAGAGGCCUAUAAGGGUCCCCUGGCAGUGCCAUGGAGGUAGGGCAUGGUCGGCUGUACCUGUAGAGGUGUCUAAAGGGAGGCUUGCAAGCUGCCCCUUGAAGGACGAGCAGAAAAUUGUACAUGAGGACAAGUAGGAAAGGAAUUCCAGGAGGAGGGAUCAGCAUGUGCAAAGGCAUGGAGGUUGUCCAUAGAAUGUAGAGAGAAAAUAUUAAAACCUAUAUUUAUACUAA